Molecule: small RNA, 27 nt
Filed under: Bombyx mori (domestic silkworm)
Lineage: Eukaryota; Metazoa; Arthropoda; Insecta; Lepidoptera; Bombycidae
Description: ovarian small RNA-15468
Source: RNAcentral
GACCCGAAACACUUAGGGGGCCAGGGC